Octopus bimaculoides (California two-spot octopus) is the source of this 1364-nucleotide long non-coding RNA. The record is from RefSeq and is a predicted model, not a curated record. Lineage: Eukaryota; Metazoa; Mollusca; Cephalopoda; Octopoda; Octopodidae.
GAGAAAUAGAACAUCAUUGGGCUAGUGGCUCUAGUGCGCUGUAUGAAGCUUUACUUAUUUGCUAUAUUGAAAAUGUUUGUAUGUUUGCCACCUGUAUUGACCCAUAUGUGUGAGCAAUAUUGUGUGCUGCACAUAAUUACCAUGUAUAAGAUCAAUAACUGCUCAAACCUGAAAUAACAAACUAACUCCAAACAAGAUACCCAGAUUUUGGAAUGUAUCCCACUCACCACUCCUUAAUAGACAAUACAACAUUAUAUAUCCUAAAACAGAUUCUAUAUGUGACUGUUCAAUCAUGCCAUGUACAAAAGAGGCCUAGGAACUGUCUGAAUUUCAAAGAGGCCGUAUUGUGGGUCAUUCUGAAGGUGGAUAUAGUCAGCAUAAAAUCGCAGAAAACCUUGGGAUCCCACCUUCUAUAGUUAAUAGUGGUUGUGCAAUUCACCAGAGAGGGGAGGGACUCCACAUCACCUUGCCCAGAUAACCAGGGCCCUCUGACUGGACCUUUAUCUUUGCUAAGAGAAGUGUGGAGGACAAUCCUCAUUGUAAGAUCUCUGACAUAGCAGAGCAAGUUGAUGUCAGUCCCAGAAUAGCUGUCAGAUAUCUCCACAAAUUUGGUAACUAUGGCAGACCAAGAAGAAGGAAGCCACAUCUUUGAGCAGCCAAUAAGAAGUGGAGGAAUGAUUGAGCCAGUGAGAUUGCGGCAAAGCCAUUAGCAUUUUGGGACACUGUCAUAAUCUCUGAGGAGUCCAGAUUUGCUGUAUUUCCUAACAGUGGUCUAGUGUGGGUCUGGAGACUCUGUGAUCAAGAAAUUGAUGCCAAAAGAUUGCAACCAGCAAUGAAACACAGCAACUAUUCUGUGAUGGUUUGGGGAACCAUUUGGAGCAAUGGUUGAUCAGAGCUGGAGUGUGAGGGAAAGAUGAACUCAAAUAUGUGUCCAUAUUGCAGAAAGGACAAGUUCCAAAUUCUCCAAUGGUGAAAUGAUUAAAGAAGGCUCUCUAUUUAUGGAAGAUAGGACUCCUUGUCACACGGUUAAAAUGACCCAAGAUUUGUUGGAAAAGAAAUCUUCCAUACCUAAGCCAGUCACCAGAUAUGAACCCCAUAGAAUAUCUCUGGGGCAUAAACAACAGGACAUUUCAUAAACAGAACAAGAAAGCAUCUUUAAAGCCAGAUCUUUUGAGAUUAUUGCAUGAAACUUAGAAAGAAAUUCUAAAAGAGAAUUUUCACCAUCUGAUCAGUAACAUGCCUAAUACGGCCCUUGCAUUGAAAAAUGCAAAAAGCAAGUCUACUAAAUAUUGAAUGUUCACAUUAUAACAACUAACAAAUAAUUCGAAUGUAUAAUUUCAGAUUCAAAUAAAUUUUAAUGAUUA